Molecule: ribosomal RNA, 439 nt
Filed under: uncultured bacterium
Lineage: Bacteria
Description: partial 16S ribosomal RNA
Rfam family: Bacterial small subunit ribosomal RNA
Source: RNAcentral
CUACGGGGGGCUGCAGUGAGGAAUAUUGCACAAUGGGGGGAACCCUGAUGCAGCAACGCCGCGUGGAGGAUGACGCAUUUCGGUGUGUAAACUCCUUUUAUAUGUCAAGAAAAUGACGGUAGCAUAUGAAUAAGCACCGGCUAACUCCGUGCCAGCAGCCGCGGUAAUACGGAGGGUGCAAGCGUUACUCGGAAUCACUGGGCGUAAAGGACGCGUAGGCGGGCUUGUAAGUCAGGUGUGAAAUCCUACAGCUUAACUGUAGAACUGCACUUGAAACUACGAGCCUAGAGUAUGGGAGGGGGAGAUGGAAUUAGUGGUGUAGGGGUAAAAUCCGUAGAUAUCACUAGGAAUACCUAAAGCGAAGGCGAUCUCCUGGAACAUUACUGACGCUAAGGCGUGAAAGCGUGGGGAGCAAACAGGAUUAGAUACCCGAGUAGUC